UGGGGAAUAUUGCACAAUGGGGGAAACCCUGAUGCAGCGAUGCCGCGUGGAGGAAGAAGGUUUUCGGAUUGUAAACUCCUGUUGAAGAGGACGAUAAUGACGGUACUCUUUUAGAAAGCUCCGGCUAACUACGUGCCAGCAGCCGCGGUAAUACGUAGGGAGCGAGCGUUGUCCGGAAUUACUGGGUGUAAAGGGAGCGUAGGCGGGACGGCAAGUCAGAUGUGAAAACUAUGGGCUCAACUCAUAGACUGCAUUUGAAACUGUUGUUCUUGAGUGAGGUAGAGGUAAGCGGAAUUCCUGGUGUAGCGGUGAAAUGCGUAGAUAUUAGGAGGAACACCAGUGGCGAAGGCGGAUUGCUGGACAGCAACUGACGGUGAGGCGCGAAAGUGUGGGGAGCAAACAGGAUUAGAUACCCUGGUAGUCCACACCGUAAACGAUGGAUACUAGGUGUAGGGGAUAUUAAGUCUUCUGUGCCGUCGCAAACGCAGUAAGUAUCCCACCUGGGGAGUACGGCCGCAAGGUUGAAACUCAAAGGAAUUGACGGGGGCCCGCACAAGCAGUGGAGUAUGUGGUUUAAUUCGACGCAACGCGAAGAACCUUACCAGGUCUUGACAUCCACUUAAACUUACAGAGAUGUAAGGUGUGCUUGCACAAAGUGAGACAGGUGGUGCAUGGUUGUCGUCAGCUCGUGUCGUGAGAUGUUGGGUUAAGUCCCGCAACGAGCGCAACCCUUAUCUUCAGUUACUAACGCGUGAAGGUGAGGACUCUGAAGAGACUGCCGGGGACAACUCGGAGGAAGGUGGGGACGACGUCAAAUCAUCAUGCCCCUUAUGACCUGGGCUACACACGUGCUACAAUGGCGUUAAACAAAGAGAAGCAAGACCGCGAGGUGGAGCAAAACUCAGAAACAACGUCCCAGUUCGGACUGCAGGCUGCAACUCGCCUGCACGAAGUCGGAAUUGCUAGUAAUCGUGGAUCAGCAUGCCACGGUGAAUACGUUCCC
Molecule: ribosomal RNA, 1003 nt
Filed under: uncultured bacterium
Lineage: Bacteria
Description: bacterial SSU rRNA
Rfam family: Bacterial small subunit ribosomal RNA
Source: RNAcentral